CUUUUGCAGCCCAGCUGGUUCCGGUCGGGGAAGAUGGCGGUAGCUGGGGCGGCAUCCGGAGAGCCACUAGUACACUGGUGCACACAGCAAUUGCGAAAAACUUUCGCCUUGGAUGUCAGCGAGGAGAUCAUACAAUAUGUUUUGUCAAUUGAGAGUGCCGAAGAAAUACGAGACUAUGUGACAGAUCUUCUCCAGGGAAAUGAGGGUAAAAAGGGUCAAUUCAUAGAAGAUCUUAUAACCAAAUGGCAAAAGAAGGAUCAGGAGUGCAUUUCUGAUUCUUUUCAACAGUGCUGGAAAAAAGAUGAAAGUUUAGAUGGACAGAGAUCAGUGGACCAGCUAAAGCGGAGUAGGAGGAAAGGAAGAAACAAACAGGAAGUUCCUGCAUUUCCUGAACCUGACGUGACUGUGGAGGUCAAAACACCUUUAGAUUUGGCCAAGGCACAAGAAGGCAACAGCUCCGUAAAGAAGAAGACGAGAUUUGUCAGCUUAUAUACACGAGAGGGGCAGGACAAACUUGCAGUCCUCCUUCCUGGUCGUCACCCGUGUGAUUGCUUGGGCCAGAAGCACAAACUCAUCAAUAACUGUCUGGUCUGUGGGCGGAUUGUCUGUGAACAGGAGGGUUCAGGCCCCUGCUUGUUCUGUGGCUCUUUGGUGUGUACCAAUGAAGAACAGGACAUUUUACAACGUGACUCAAACAAAAGCCAGAAACUGCUGAAGAAGCUCAUGUCAGGGGCAGAGAAUUCUGGAAAGGUGGAUAUCUCUACCAAGGACCAUCCUCCUCAUCAGGAAUCUCGAAUGAAGUCUGGUUUGGAGAAGGCUGUCAAGCACAAGGAAAAACUGUUAGAGUUCGAUAGGACUAGUAUCCGAAGGACCCAAGUCAUUGAUGAUGAAUCAGAUUACUUUGCCAGUGAUUCUAAUCAGUGGCUGUCCAAAGUUGAGCGAGACAUGCUACAGAAACGAGAGGAAGAGCUGAGAGAACUCCGACAUGCCUCUCGACUUUCUAAGAAAGUCACCAUUGACUUUGCGGGGCGGAAGAUCCUAGAAGAUGAAAACCCACUGGCAGAGUAUCACAGCAGACUAGAUGAGACAAUACAAGCCAUUGCCAAUGGAACUUUGAACCAGUCACUGGUCACGUCUGAUAGAUCUUCUGAAGAGCCUUUGGGAGUUCUGGUAAACCCUAACAUGUACCAGGCCCCUCCUCAGUGGGUGGACAACACUGGGUCAGCACCACCAAAGAAAACUUCACUCUCAGUAGGACCAAGACUAGAGCUCAGUUUACAUCCUCACCAGCUUCGAAUCCAGGACCAGGAAUUCCAGGAAGGCUUUGAUGGUGGCUGGUGCCUGUCUGUGCAUCAGCCCUGGGCUUCUCUGCUUGUCAAGGGGAUUAAAAGGGUGGAGGGCAGAUCCUGGUAUACUCCUCACAGAGGAAGACUUUGGAUAGCAGCCACAGGCAAAAGACCUUCGACUCAAGAAGUCUCAGAACUCCAGGCUACCUACCGUCUUCUUCGCGGGAAAGAUGUAGAAUUUCCAAAUGACUAUCCAUCAGGUUGUCUUCUGGGCUGUGUGGACCUUAUUGAUUGCUUAUCCCAGAAACAAUUCCAGGAGCAGGACCUUGGAAAGAUUGCUGUUACACUGAAGGAGAGCAACACGAUUGUAAAUGCAGCUAAGGCUGGAAGAUGAAAAACAGCCAAAAAAUAGGAAAACUAGGAAGAAAAUGAUACUUUGGAAGUUAAGUGGGGAUCAUGUUUAAGACAGAGGAAUAGAAAUUUGUCAGGCUAGGAAUGUAGCUCAAUGCUAGAGCAUUUGCUUACCAUAUGCGAGGCUUUGGAUUUGAUCCCUAACACCAUAAAAAUAUAUAUGCUAAAUAAAUGGGCUAGCCAGGUGUGAUAGCACAUCCCUAAUUUAAUUCCAGCAUUUACUGGAGAGGCAGAGACAGCCUGUCAGAUUUUCCAGGAUAGCAUAAUUAAGAUAAAACUGAGAGCUGAUCAUUUAAUUUAGCAACAUGGAGGUUAGCAGUGACCGUUACAGGAGUAGUUCUAUAGCAGGUUAAAAACAGCUGGGUGCGGAAGUGCACACCUUUAACCCCUGCACUCCAAAAGCAGAUGGACCUUUGUGAGUUGGAGGCCAACCUGGUCUACAAGUGAGCCCAGAAUAGCCAGGGAUAUGUAAAGAGACCCUGUCUCACAAACAAACAAACAUAAAUAAAUAAGAUUUGAAAAUAUGUAAAUAAAUGCAGGCCAGGGAGGUAGUUCAGUAGGUAGAGGCUUGUAACACAAUCACAAUCACCUGAGUUCCAUCACCACAUAAAGCUCGAUGUGGUAGCUCACAUCCACAGUCACAGUGCCAGCAUUCCUAAGGUGAGAAGAGAGAAUGCUGUUCAGCAACAGAAGUAACAAGAAAGACCCUGCCCUGAAACAAGGUAGAAGGCAAGAACCAGCUCACAAAACUUGUCCCUUGGCCUACACACAUUGGUAGUCUUCUUCAGUUCCUCUUCAGCUUUUUGAGAGUUAAUCCUCUGAGAACCUGGAGCUCACAGACGUAAGCUCACAGUGAGCUGCAUGAGUGAGUCUCUGUCCCACUCCACUCAGUGUGCCUACUAAUCUAUCCUCCCAGCUCCUUUACUGCAAAUAUUUCCAUUUUGUUUAUAAGUAUGUUGUUUGUGACUGAUACUUGAUACUAAGUUUAUAUUUUAUGUAUGAGUACACUGUAGCUGUCCUAAGACGCACCAGAAGAGGGCAUCGGAUCUCAUUACAGAUGGUUGAGAGCCACCAUGUGCUUGCUGGGAAUUGAACUCAGGACCUCUGGAAGAGCAGUCAGUGCUCUUAACCACUGAGCCAUCUCUCCAACCAGAGAGGGUAGAUCUUAAAAGUUCCCGGACAUCAGUCAAGAGUCUGACUCUCCAUUUGUCUUCAUCUGCAAAAAUCCCCAGGAAAUGGUUGUGAAGUUCCCUAUUAAAGGAAAUCCUAAAAUCUGUAA
RNA transcript from Rattus norvegicus (Norway rat), 2976 nucleotides. It is a transcript of the gene named thyroid hormone receptor interactor 4, with no coding region annotated. Lineage: Eukaryota; Metazoa; Chordata; Mammalia; Rodentia; Muridae. The record is from RefSeq and is marked validated.